GAAGUGCUUACGUGACUGAUUUCGUCUCGAACUUAAGAACUAUAACUUUAAUGCAUCCUAAUGUAUUUCCGGAGCCCUAUCCCGAACGAUUAUCGCCAGAAAACAGGACACUGGAGGACGGAAUGCAAAUCAGCAGCAGGUAGAUCUCAACCACAGAACACAGGACCAGCUCCUGCCACUAGGCGUAAGCAGAGCUCUUACAGACAAGGUAACUGGCAACGCAGACAGGAAUCACAUCAAAAUAAUGGCCCCUUUGCACUUAGGCAGCAACCUUAUAAUCCACAUUUUAAUCCCCACCCAUAUGAUAACGAAAGACUGGACCGACAAUAGGGAGGCCCAGGUGAUGAUGAGGGACAGUGUGAAGCACUACACACGAUGCUGCAUUUGCAAUUGUCCCGUAACACAGAAAGCUUGCCCAUGUUAGAUAUAGAGAUAGGUGAAAAGACUUAUUCCUUUUUAGUUGACAGUGGAGCCACUAAAAGUUCACUGUCUGGAAAAUUCUAUAGUGGGCCUGUUUCCUCUGUGUGCAUCAACACCAUGGGAAUAAACGGAACUCUAGUGCAAUGCCCCAAAACUCAUUCUCUAAAAACACGCUGGGGCCCAAAACCAGAUGAAAUUACAUAUCAUCCAUUCAUAAUUAUUCCAAACUCGCCUGUGAAUCUAUUAGGCAGAGAUUUAAUGGCAAAAAUGAACUUGUGUAUUUCAUUUAACACAAAGGGUGAAAUGUUUGCAGAUACUGAUAACAGCUAUGUUUUCUCUGCCCUAUGCACCGACACCAUGGAGAAGGAACAUCCUCUGUGUCAGCUGGACGCCUCAGCGGAGAAUGAACUCAAUAUCCAUCUGACUGACUUUUGCAGGCUAUACAGCUGCCAUCGGCAAUUGCAGUUGUUAAAACGAAGGGGCACAGCACGGCUGACACAGACGAAGCAGUGGGAAAUGCUCUUGCAGACGUAACCGC
Long non-coding RNA from Astatotilapia calliptera (eastern happy), 958 nucleotides. The record is from Ensembl. NCBI's taxonomy places the organism in Eukaryota, Metazoa, Chordata, Actinopteri, Cichliformes, Cichlidae.